Molecule: transfer RNA, 68 nt
Filed under: Pseudomyrmex peperi
Lineage: Eukaryota; Metazoa; Arthropoda; Insecta; Hymenoptera; Formicidae
Description: tRNA-Ile
Source: RNAcentral
AAUGAUAUGCCUGAUCUAAAAGGGUUAUUUUGAUAGAAUAAAUCAUGCAUUCAUUAAUGCUUUCAUUU